Molecule: transfer RNA, 72 nt
Filed under: Camelus ferus (Wild Bactrian camel)
Lineage: Eukaryota; Metazoa; Chordata; Mammalia; Artiodactyla; Camelidae
Rfam family: tRNA
About the family: Transfer RNA (tRNA) molecules are approximately 80 nucleotides in length. Their secondary structure includes four short double-helical elements and three loops (D, anti-codon, and T loops). Further hydrogen bonds mediate the characteristic L-shaped molecular structure. tRNAs have two regions of fundamental functional importance: the anti-codon, which is responsible for specific mRNA codon recognition, and the 3' end, to which the tRNAs corresponding amino acid is attached (by aminoacyl-tRNA synthetases). tRNAs cope with the degeneracy of the genetic code in two manners: having more than one tRNA (with a specific anti-codon) for a particular amino acid; and 'wobble' base-pairing, i.e. permitting non-standard base-pairing at the 3rd anti-codon position.
Source: Rfam by way of RNAcentral
AGGGGUUUAGCUCAGUGGUAGAGCACGUGCUUAGCAUGCACGAGGCCCUGGGUUCAAUUCUCAGUGCCUCCA